UACGAAGGGUGCAAGCGUUAAUCGGAAUUACUGGGCGUAAAGCGUGCGUAGGUGGUUUCUUAAGUCUGCUGUGAAAGCCCUGGGCUCAACCUGGGAAUGGCGGUGGAUACUGAGGAGCUAGAGUGCGGUAGAGGAGGGUGGAAUUCCCGGUGUAGCGGUGAAAUGCGUAGAGAUCGGGAGGAACACCAAUGGCGAAGGCAGCUCUCUGGGACGGUACUGACGCUGAGACGCGAAAGCGUGGGGAGCGAACAGG
Molecule: ribosomal RNA, 253 nt
Filed under: uncultured bacterium
Lineage: Bacteria
Description: partial 16S ribosomal RNA
Rfam family: Bacterial small subunit ribosomal RNA
Source: RNAcentral